Molecule: long non-coding RNA, 1106 nt
Filed under: Anas zonorhyncha (Eastern spot-billed duck)
Lineage: Eukaryota; Metazoa; Chordata; Aves; Anseriformes; Anatidae
Description: lncRNA (ENSAZOG00000008307.1)
Source: RNAcentral
AGGGUUCGGAAAGGUUCGGAAGGGUUCGGAAGGGUUCGGAGGGGUUCGGGAGGGGCUCGGGGAGGGUUCGGAAAGGUUCGGAAGGGUUCGGGGAGGGGUUCGGAAAGCUUCGGCUCUUUCCGGAGCCGCUCGGCCCCGGCGCAGUGCGGCGGAGGCGGCAGGGGGCGGGGUCAGGGAGUGGCCACGCCCCCUCCUCCUCACGGCCGGUCCCAAAAUGGCGGCGAUUCGACCCAAAAUGGCCAAAACCGACCUAAAUCAGCCAAAAUCCGCCCUAAUUCAGCCAAAUUAGGCCUUAAAUCCACCAAAUUCGCACUCACGUCGCUUGAUUUCGCCCUGCAUCCUUUCAAAUCUCAUCUAAAGCCUCACAAUUUCCACCCAAAAUGUCCCAUUUUCACACAAUUUUGACCAAAUUCCACCUAAAUCACCCCAAAAUGUACAAUUUCCACAUGAAUUCCACCUAAAUCACCCCAAAAUCACCCCAAAACGUCCAAUUUCCACACAAAUUCCACCUAAAUCCCCCACAAACCUCCCAUUUCGACAGAAAUUCCACCAAAUUCCAACUAAAUCCCCCCAAAACCUCUAAUUCCCACACAAAUUCCUCACAAAUUCCACCUAAAUCCCCCCCAAAAUCCCCAAUUUCCACAUGAAUUCCACCUAAAUCCCCCCCAAACCUCCAAUUUCCACACUAAUUCCACACAAAUCCCCCCCAAAAUCUCCAAUUUCCUCAUAAAUUCUACCUAAAUCCCCCCAAAAUGUCCAAUUUCCACACAAAUUCCACCAAACUCCACCUAAAUUCCCCCCAAAAUCCCCAAUUUCCACACGAAUUCCACCUAAAUCCCCCCAAACCUCCCAUUUCCACACAAAUUCCACAUGAAUUCCACCAAAAUCCUCCCCAAAAUCCCCAAUUUCCACAAGAAUUCCACCUAAAUCACCCCAAAAUCUCCAAUUUUCACACUAAUUCCACACAAACCCCCCCAAAAAAUCUCCAAUUUCCUCAUAAAUUCUACCUAAAUCCCCCCCAAAAUCUCCAAUUUCCACACAAAUUCCACACCAAAUUCCACCUAAAUCACCCCAAAAUGUACAAUUUCCACAUGAAUUCCACCUAA